UACGGGGGGGGCAAGCGUUGUUCGGAAUUACUGGGCGUAAAGAGCUCGUAGGCGGUUUGUCGCGUCGGCCGUGAAAUCUCCACGCUUAACGUGGAGCGUGCGGUCGAUACGGGCAGACUUGAGUUCGGUAGGGGAGACUGGAAUUCCUGGUGUAGCGGUGAAAUGCGCAGAUAUCAGGAGGAACACCGGUGGCGAAGGCGGGUCUCUGGGCCGAUACUGACGCUGAGGAGCGGAAGCGUGGGGAGCGAACAGG
This 253-nucleotide ribosomal RNA is filed under the name uncultured bacterium. RNAcentral describes it as "partial 16S ribosomal RNA". It matches the Rfam family "Bacterial small subunit ribosomal RNA", at positions 524 to 776 of the family's 1533-position model. The record is from RNAcentral.